Molecule: non-coding RNA, 25 nt
Filed under: Cricetulus griseus (Chinese hamster)
Lineage: Eukaryota; Metazoa; Chordata; Mammalia; Rodentia; Cricetidae
Source: RNAcentral
UCUGUAACCCACAAAGAUUCCCGGC